GGGUUGUGAGGUUAAGCGACUAAGCGUACACGGUGGAUGCCCUGGCAGUCAGAGGCGAUGAAGGACGUGCUAAUCUGCGAAAAGCGUCGGUAAGGUGAUAUGAACCGUUACAGCCGGCGAUGUCCGAAUGGGGAAACCCAGUGUGAUUCGUCACACUAUCGUUAACUGAAUACAUAGGUUAACGAGGCGAACCGGGGGAACUGAAACAUCUAAGUACCCCGAGGAAAAGAAAUCAACCGAGAUUCCCCCAGUAGCGGCGAGCGAACGGGGAGCAGCCCAGAGUCUGAAUCAGCUUGUGUGUUAGUGGAACGGUCUGGAAAGUCCGACGGUACAGGGUGAUAGUCCCGUACACCAAAAUGCACAGGUUGUGAACUCGAAGAGUAGGGCGGGACACGUGGUAUCCUGUCUGAAUAUGGGGGGACCAUCCUCCAAGGCUAAAUACUCCUGACUGACCGAUAGUGAACCAGUACCGUGAGGGAAAGGCGAAAAGAACCCCGGCGAGGGGAGUGAAAAAGAACCUGAAACCGUGUACGUACAAGCAGUGGGAGCACCUUCGGGUGUGACUGCGUACCUUUUGUAUAAUGGGUCAGCGACUUAUAUUCUGUAGCAAGGUUAACCGUAUAGGGGAGCCGCAGGGAAACCGAGUCUUAACUGGGCGUUAAGUUGCAGGGUAUAGACCCGAAACCCGGUGAUCUAGCCAUGGGCAGGUUGAAGGUUGGGUAACACUAACUGGAGGACCGAACCGACUAAUGUUGAAAAAUUAGCGGAUGACUUGUGGCUGGGGGUGAAAGGCCAAUCAAACCGGGAGAUAGCUGGUUCUCCCCGAAAGCUAUUUAGGUAGCGCCUCGUGAAUUCAUCUUCGGGGGUAGAGCACUGUUUCGGCUAGGGGGUCAUCCCGACUUACCAACCCGAUGCAAACUACGAAUACCGAAGAAUGUUAUCACGGGAGACACACGGCGGGUGCUAACGUCCGUCGUGAAGAGGGAAACAACCCAGACCGCCAGCUAAGGUCCCAAAGUCAUGGUUAAGUGGGAAACGAUGUGGGAAGGCACAGACAGCCAGGAUGUUGGCUUAGAAGCAGCCAUCAUUUAAAGAAAGCGUAAUAGCUCACUGGUCGAGUCGGCCUGCGCGGAAGAUGUAACGGGGCUAAACCAUGCACCGAAGCUGCGGCAGCGACGCUUAUGCGUUGUUGGGUAGGGGAGCGUUCUGUAAGCCUGCGAAGGUGGCCUGUGAGGGUUGCUGGAGGUAUCAGAAGUGCGAAUGCUGACAUAAGUAACGAUAAAGCGGGUGAAAAGCCCGCUCGCCGGAAGACCAAGGGUUCCUGUCCAACGUUAAUCGGGGCAGGGUGAGUCGACCCCUAAGGCGAGGCCGAAAGGCGUAGUCGAUGGGAAACAGGUUAAUAUUCCUGUACUUGGUGUUACUGCGAAGGGGGGACGGAGAAGGCUAUGUUAGCCGGGCGACGGUUGUCCCGGUUUAAGCAUGUAGGCGGAGGUUCCAGGUAAAUCCGGUACCUUUUAACGCUGAGGUGUGAUGACGAGGCACUACGGUGCUGAAGUAACAAAUGCCCUGCUUCCAGGAAAAGCCUCUAAGCAUCAGGUAACAUUAAAUCGUACCCCAAACCGACACAGGUGGUCAGGUAGAGAAUACCAAGGCGCUUGAGAGAACUCGGGUGAAGGAACUAGGCAAAAUGGUGCCGUAACUUCGGGAGAAGGCACGCUGGUGUGUAGGUGAAGUCCCUGCGGACGGAGCUGAGACCAGUCGAAGAUACCAGCUGGCUGCAACUGUUUAUUAAAAACACAGCACUGUGCAAACACGAAAGUGGACGUAUACGGUGUGACGCCUGCCCGGUGCCGGAAGGUUAAUUGAUGGGGUUAUCCGUAAGGAGAAGCUCUUGAUCGAAGCCCCGGUAAACGGCGGCCGUAACUAUAACGGUCCUAAGGUAGCGAAAUUCCUUGUCGGGUAAGUUCCGACCUGCACGAAUGGCGUAAUGAUGGCCAGGCUGUCUCCACCCGAGACUCAGUGAAAUUGAACUCGCUGUGAAGAUGCAGUGUACCCGCGGCAAGACGGAAAGACCCCGUGAACCUUUACUAUAGCUUGACACUGAACAUUGAGCCUUGAUGUGUAGGAUAGGUGGGAGGCUUUGAAGCGUGGACGCCAGUCUGCGUGGAGCCAACCUUGAAAUACCACCCUUUAAUGUUUGAUGUUCUAACGUUGGCCCGUAAUCCGGGUUGCGGACAGUGUCUGGUGGGUAGUUUGACUGGGGCGGUCUCCUCCCAAAGAGUAACGGAGGAGCACGAAGGUUAGCUAAUCCUGGUCGGACAUCAGGAGGUUAGUGCAAUGGCAUAAGCUAGCUUGACUGCGAGCGUGACGGCGCGAGCAGGUGCGAAAGCAGGUCAUAGUGAUCCGGUGGUUCUGAAUGGAAGGGCCAUCGCUCAACGGAUAAAAGGUACUCCGGGGAUAACAGGCUGAUACCGCCCAAGAGUUCAUAUCGACGGCGGUGUUUGGCACCUCGAUGUCGGCUCAUCACAUCCUGGGGCUGAAGUAGGUCCCAAGGGUAUGGCUGUUCGCCAUUUAAAGUGGUACGCGAGCUGGGUUUAGAACGUCGUGAGACAGUUCGGUCCCUAUCUGCCGUGGGCGCUGGAGAAUUGAGGGGGGCUGCUCCUAGUACGAGAGGACCGGAGUGGACGCAUCACUGGUGUUCGGGUUGUCAUGCCAAUGGCACUGCCCGGUAGCUAAAUGCGGAAGAGAUAAGUGCUGAAAGCAUCUAAGCACGAAACUUGCCCCGAGAUGAGUUCUCCCUGAGACUUUAAGUCUCCUGAAGGAACGUUGAAGACGACGACGUUGAUAGGCCGGGUGUGUAAGCGCAGCGAUGCGUUGAGCUAACCGGUACUAAUGAACCGUGAGGCUUAACCUUACAACGCCGAAGCUGUU
This 2931-nucleotide ribosomal RNA is filed under the name Klebsiella variicola. Its description in RNAcentral is "bacterial LSU rRNA". It matches the Rfam family "Bacterial large subunit ribosomal RNA". Lineage: Bacteria; Pseudomonadati; Pseudomonadota; Gammaproteobacteria; Enterobacterales; Enterobacteriaceae. The record is from RNAcentral.